UACACCUGACGCUCUUCCUCCACACAGCCUCUGACUCUUCCUGCCAGUGGGCAUUUUCUGCAGACACCUAGGGCAUGAGUCAGCAAAAGGUAGCCAAUGCCCGAACCCAGGCCCGGAUUCUACACUGAACUAGCUGGCACCCUGCAGGAGGAUGGCAGCAUCUUACUCUUCUCUCACUGUGGCCUGUCUGCUUUCUUCAUCCUUGGAGGCCAUGGGAGCCUGGCUGAUCUUCAGUGUAUUGCCGAGCCUCUAUGGUGCCUGGUCCUGUGUCUGGGCUCUAGUCUGCUGAGGAUGGAGAGCGCAUGGACAGAAGAGCUGACUUUUACAUCAUCUGCAGGUACUAAGUCAGCCACACCACAGGUGCCUGUGCAGGGAAGCCUCUGUUUACAGGGAACGGGGCCCUAAAAACUGAGUCUGGUAAACAGACCAUCCCAAAGGUCCCUAAGGAGAUGUGGCUUUAGCUCUGUGAUCUACUGAAGACCAUCCACUGACAAAGGCUUCUUGUGUGGUGGGUCUAUCUGCACGGCAUUCCUUAGAUGGGUUCUGAAGAUGGAUGUAGCCUUGCCCAGAGCGUGCGUGACUCCUCCCCACCCACUGCGUUAAUCCUAGGGCCAGGCUUGCAUGGAGGUUGGAGUAGGGAGGUCAGGGACUCAAAGUCAUCAUUCGCUGGACAGAAGGUUUUAGGCUACCCUGAGCUA
Molecule: long non-coding RNA, 698 nt
Filed under: Mus pahari (shrew mouse)
Lineage: Eukaryota; Metazoa; Chordata; Mammalia; Rodentia; Muridae
Description: lncRNA (MGP_PahariEiJ_G0003046.1)
Source: RNAcentral